This 266-nucleotide ribosomal RNA is filed under the name uncultured bacterium. RNAcentral describes it as "partial 16S ribosomal RNA". It matches the Rfam family "Bacterial small subunit ribosomal RNA", at positions 92 to 354 of the family's 1533-position model. The record is from RNAcentral.
CGACCGGCGCACGGGUGAGUAACACGUAUGAAACCUGCCCGUAGCAGGGGGAUAAGCGGAAGAAAUUCCGUCUAAUACCGCGUAACAACCCGAGGAGGCAUCUCUGUGGGUUUAAAGGAAGCGAUUCCGGCUACGGAUGGUCAUGCGUCGCAUUAGCUUGUUGGCGGGGUAACGGCCCACCAAGGCGACGAUCAGUAGCCGGCCUGAGAGGGCGGACGGCCACAUUGGGACUGAGACACGGCCCAGACUCCUACGGAAGGCAGCAG